GUUGGUGCCUGCAUGUGGAAGAUAUCUAGCUUAAAGACCCACUCUAAUAAUUUUUUACUAUUUACCAUUUAUUAGUGGUUUUUAGUCAAAAGCACGUCACAUGUGUCAUUUUUAAGGCUUUUCUUCUGCAGAGCUCCAGUAGCUCAUCAACAAUUCGCCUCUGAGUCGUGGGCGCAGACAUUGGUGCUCAGUACCCUCCUCUUCAUGCUAGCUUGUAGCCUAACAUUGCCAGUGUAGUAGAAGUGGCAGGUAACAUAUAUGCUAUUCAGCUCUCAGACACUGAUGUCUUUGGGGACAUGAUGAAAGUAAAUAUCAUAAUUGGCUUUCUUACAAGCAUUGCAACAGCACACACUUCUUCCGCCAUUGUCCUCUCUACUUCUCGGAGUCUGGCCUGCAGAAUAGGGGCGGAGCUUGGGCUUGUGACGUAGAAAAUCUGUGUCUGAACCUGCCAUUUGGCUUUGCCAGAGGUUCACAGAGAUCUGAAUGCAAUUUUGUUUUUAUUUUUCUCAUGAUAUGCCCCGUAGCAUCAGAAAAAUGCUAUAUGAACAUGUAGACAACAAGAAAAACAUGAUUUUCAUCGGAGCAAGUUUUCAAUCAGCACAAACAACUCCAUACUGAGUCAUCAGUAUCAUGCCUUUUUAGGGUGUGAUGUGCAAGAACAAAGGUGUAGUGACGGCAGGACUUUGCUCUAGUGCUUUUGCGGACUUGCAGUGUCUUAUAGACUAUAAAGGGAAAAAAAGCCUCCUGUUUGUUAUUCAACACACUUCACAGAGUUCAGGGGUUUAUUGAACCAGUGAAGUGCAGCCGAGUGCGGUUACUUUGACUCCUGCAGCUUAAGCAACAAAGUUGACUGCAAACUGUUUGAUUAGCCAACAGGAGGCUGUUAACCGAGGCAUGUAUUCACCAUCACGCCAGUAUAAAAUCAAAAAACUACACACAUCUCAGCAUGAUGGAGAUUAUACAGUAUAAUUUUUUUUAUAAUUGUUGAAUUUAACCCACUGUGAAUUUGUCUACUGUUUUGUCCUGUAGUUUGGAAAUUCCUUCAAACUUUUCUUAUCUUUUCCUCUGCUUGGAAAUGCUGAGCGUUGGAAGUUGACACCAUACUGACAGCGCUGAGAUAGAUGAGGGGAUGAACGCCAUUUCUUCUUUCUUUUCUUUGGAUGUUUUCUUGGUGCUGUAGACAUAUUGCCUUACUUGAUUGCAUUGUCACAAUCCCCACAGGGAGCUAUUAACUCUACCCAAAGAGUAUGAGCUUCUCGGUCCUUCAGGGGUGGAGGAGGGGUUGGGUGCGGUGGUGGCACUUGGAAAUGCUGAGGGAGGCAGAAACAAUGAAGGGCUGAAAAACGAGGGAGAAAAAUGAGGCUUUGGUUCCAUGUGUGACCAUUAAUAUUCAUUUGUGUGUGCUGUAUAUCAGUAAAAAUAUACAGAGUAUAUGAGUUUUUGCUUUUGUUGAAACAUGUAUGUGGUGAUCGCCUGAAACUUCUGGAUAUUUACACUUAUUCCACUGGUUUAGCAAGUGCCCUAAUGCUCAGAACAAUCAUCAGUCUGGCAAUAUGAUGCUCAAAUUGCUUUAUAUCAUCUCUGUUCUGAGUGUAGAUGUAACUUUA
This is a non-coding RNA of Xyrichtys novacula (pearly razorfish), 1607 nucleotides long. The record is from the annotation of a GenBank genome assembly. NCBI's taxonomy places the organism in Eukaryota, Metazoa, Chordata, Actinopteri, Labriformes, Labridae.